Molecule: transfer RNA, 72 nt
Filed under: Parasteatoda tepidariorum (common house spider)
Lineage: Eukaryota; Metazoa; Arthropoda; Arachnida; Araneae; Theridiidae
Description: transfer RNA proline (anticodon UGG)
Rfam family: tRNA
About the family: Transfer RNA (tRNA) molecules are approximately 80 nucleotides in length. Their secondary structure includes four short double-helical elements and three loops (D, anti-codon, and T loops).
Source: RNAcentral
GGCCCGGUGGUCUAGGGGUAUGAUUCUCGCUUUCGGUGCGAGAGGUCCCGGGUUCAAAUCCCGGCCGGGCCC